This is a long non-coding RNA of Leopardus geoffroyi (Geoffroy's cat), 4339 nucleotides long. RefSeq lists it as uncharacterized. NCBI's taxonomy places the organism in Eukaryota, Metazoa, Chordata, Mammalia, Carnivora, Felidae. The record is from RefSeq and is a predicted model, not a curated record. The transcript is spliced from 4 exons.
GACCACAGAAGCAACGUCGCUCUCAGACCCUGUCCCCACGUGGCAGUGGGGGGCUCUUGAAGGGGCUUAGAGGGGCCAGGCCCAGCCCAGAGAAGGUGUCGCGCCCUGUCCCACGCCUGGGGGCCGGCUCUCUAGGGACAGAGUGUGGCGCUGCAUGACUGUGGCGGAGGUCUCAGACCUACACGUGUCCGUCCCAACCGCGAAGCGUCCCCGGGACUCCCGAUGCCUGCCCCCAACACCCCAGACGGGUGGACCUGCUUCUCCAGCCUCUGGUAGGCUGAGCAAUGGCCCUUCCCGCCUCCCACCCCUACAGCAUCCCCCACGGACGUUGUUGCGGACCCGAUCCAAGUUCUCGUUCCCGGGAAACCCCGCACCGGGGUCUGCCCACUCGACCGCCUCGCCGGAUCACCUCUGGAUCACGCAACACCCUCCCACUGGGUUCCCUGCCGCCCCCGCCACCAUCUGUCUUCCACGCGGCAGCCGACGGAGCCUGAGAACACGCGCCGAGGGGUCUCCCCUCCGCUCACAGCCCCCGCGCGGCCUCGCUGCACCAGCCUGAGCGGAAGUGCGACCACGGGCCCCAGGCCGCCCCACUCUGCCUGCCCUGCUUUUUCCGCAGCACUUAGCGCCUUUUAAUCUACGACUUUAGGCCUGUGUUCUCUUUUUUGCUUUUUUCCUGUCGUCCCACACGCGGGCACUAAUUCCAUACAGGCCCAGGUCUGUCUGUUUUGCUCGCCGACAUACGAUGAGGGGGAGGAGAGGACGCAGCGCCUGGCCCAGGCCCGGCCCAUGGGAGGUGCUUAGUAAAUAUUUGCUAAGUGAAUGAAUGCACGGAAUGCAUUUCUAUUUCCAGCCCCAGCCAGGCCCCUGGCAACCCAGAAAGCAGACAGCUCUGCAAAGAAGAAAGCCCCAGCUCUCAGGGUUUGAGGACGGCUUCCGUUUGAAGGGCUGGCUGAGAAACAGGUUUUUCCCUCCUCGGAUCUCAGAUCUCCCAGCACCUCCUGCUGCCAGGUUUCCCCCCCCCCCCCCAGCAGCUGAGCGGACAGGCUGGGGGAGGGGAGGGGAGGUGGGGGCGGAGCACUGAGGCCCCAGGCUGUCCCUGCAGCUGUUCCCGGGGCAAAUGCCUGGAAUUCUGGGAUCAUUCCCACCGGCCAGGCCAAGCCCGGGGCAGCCGAGGGCUGACCCCCUCCAAGCCAGGAGGGCCUGCCUGCCACCGCCUUCUGUGUUCUCCCGAGAGAGCCGUGGGCCUCGUCCCGGAGCCCGAAGGCCAACCUCGUGGGAGUGACUGGCCCGAGUGUGCCCCCUCCCAGCCCUCUCUGGGGAGUCGCCGCUCAGCCUGGCCUGUUCACUGUCACACGCCCGAUGGCCCGGGCCGCUCCACAAGUCACACGGCAGAUUUUCCAUUAGCGUCAAACGGAUCCUGACCUGCAACUGAUGGACCCUCCGCAAAGUGAGGGACGUGACCCGGAUGCUACGAGACAGGAGGAUUCGUGAUUUGCCUGGUUGCAAGUGCCUACUGGAUGCUUCUGAGCCCCACACGUUUGUGGAGCACCUACUGUGUCCCUAGCACUGUGACCUCUGGGUGACCCUCGCCCCGCCAGGCAUGAGAAAGUCGGGGUGCUCCCGACAUGAGGUGUAAGGGCCCCGAGGGGCACUGUCAGCUGGGAGUGGAGGCAGGAAAUCUCUCCCCGGACUGCCAGGCACUGGUGCUUUCAACUUCCCAGAUACAAUUUCCUCUUCGUCUUGGGAACAAAAUCCCUUUGCUUCCCUUUAGCGAAACUUCCUUGCCCAAGCUUUACCUUCAUGAUGGCUUCUGUUGCUGGCUUACAGCCUCGCCAUCCCCAGGGUAGUCACAUGGGCUGGCCGCAGUCACGCAACCCAAGGCCAGCCAAAGAGAGAACUGCACGCCCCCACCCCCAGAAACCAGUUAAGGGACACCCGUGGUGACCCAAGUCCAAACAAUCAAAACGACGCUCAGGGUUUUGCUGGAAUGGUGAAGGCAGAAUGACCCUGGUCCUCCAAGUGGGGAGUCCUGAGGACCCCUUAGGCCUAGAGCUCUGGGGCCACCUUCGCCCGAGAGCAAAGCCAAGUGAAAUCAAGGUUAGAGUCUGAGUAAGAUGCUGCCCGGUGGCGUCUUUGAGCUGCGGCCGUGCCUAAAAGUUGGCUGCCUUCUACACUCUCCUGUCGAGUGAACCAGAAAACUCUUCGUUCCUGAAACGAGCUUCACUUGGGGCCCGUCCCUUGUAACCAAAGGAAUCCUCUGCACAACUGAAGUGUAAUUCUCAAUGUAUUGAAACGGGGUUCUCUAGACGCGUACGGGGAGCAAAGCAACGGUAAGGUACCGGGAAGAUAGAGCCUUCCUGGCUCUUGAAAGCGGGGAAGGGGAUCUCGGCUUUGGGCAGAUACAUGUGCAAACUCACCUCCUCCCUGGGCUCCUUCUGGAACUGCCCACACUGGCCUGGCCUCCAGAAAUCCGAACCCUGCUGCUGACAGGCUCCACCACUGGGGCAGCUGUGUUUAUGGCACUGGCCUCAUCGUCCCCCUGAGUGAUCAUCUCACCUCCCUGCUAGAUGGGACCCCGGCAGAGGCAGAGGAUGAGUUGUCUUUCCUCCGCAGCUGUCUCCCCACCCCCCGCCGCUGCCCAUCACAGAGCUUGGUAGACGGAUCGCCGUGUCGUCAGGGCAGUCUCAGUCUGAGCCUCCCGGCUUCCCUCUCCCCAUCCCCAGCACCUGCCACAUCUCCCCGAGGGUCAGGCCGGUGAGCCAGCAAUGGGUCCGGGGAGGGCCCGCAGCGCAUACAGCAGGCAGCACAGGGGCGGGUCCUGGUGACGUCAGAGAGCAACAAAGAAGUCGGGCUUCGGCUGCAGAGAGAUGAACCACCACCCAUCUCAUCACGCCCUUACCCUACUAGAGCCGCUGUUCUUGCCUGACUGAUUAGCAGCGUUGAGGGAAAGGAUUGUGCCGGGCGGCCUCCGUGGGCGCAGGGCUCCGGAUGCCUGUUUCUGGGAUUCAAGUGCCACUUAAUUUGGAAUAGUCCUCUGGGUCCAGAGCAGAAAGUGACCUCAGAGACGAGCCCGUCUCUGUCACGGGGCUGGGCCGCAGGACCUAAGUGAGCCAACAAGGGACACCCUCACUCAGCGUUCUGGAGGCUGGAGUGUGGGCCCCACACGUCAGCCGUGAUGUCCUCAGGCUUGGGUCACAUCACCCCAGUCCCUGCCUCCAUCGCCACCUGGCCUCUUCCCUGUGUGUCUGUGAGUCCUCCUCUUAUAAAGACACCAGCCGUCGGAUUUAGGGCCCACACUCACCGCUAGGACCUCACCUCAGCUUGAUUACGUCUGCAAAGACCUUAUUUCCCUAUAAGGUCACAUUGUGAUGUUGCAGGCGGAUGUGAGUUUGGGGGAACCCUAUUCAACCCACUCCAUCGUCCCCACAGUCCCACACAGAUGAGGAAACCGCAUCUGAACCGUGAGAUUUUUCAGGCCGGCUGGGAUCGACCUUGGAGCACAGCCUGUAUCCUUCCCGGCCCUGCCUUCCAACGACCAGCUCCCCUAGAAGCUCUGGGCCUUCAGCGCUUGGCCCCCUUCCAGCCGGCUGGGCUCCCCCGUCCUGGGCCCAUCCUCCCCCCUCCAGGGAGCGGUAAGGAGCCGUCUCCAGACACACUGUCAAGUGGAUAAAGCUGGAUGCAGUAGGCAGUGUGCUGUCUUUGGUGGAAUAAAAGAACACUUGGCCCUGAUGCUUCUGUCACCACACGUGGGGGCUUUGGUCCCCACCGCAAGCAAUUCUCCGCAACACCAGCUGGGCGUCCUACAAUUUAACUCAAUUCUGGCACCAUCCACCCAGAGACAGCGUCGGAUCCCGCAGGUUAGGGGCUGAGUCCCACGACACCCUACCCUUGUCACCCCCGACACCCUCCCUUCAGGUGCCAAUCACGACCAGCAGGGCCCAGCGGACCCACCGCUCCUGACCACGGGCUGCAACCAGGGUUCCCACGACCCUCCUGGGCUUCCAUCAGUUUGCUAGAGCGGCUCCCAGAUCUCCAGGAAACACGGUCACCGGGUCAUCGUGUGAUAAAGGAGGGGACAAAGUUGCAGAUGAGCAGUCGGAUGGAGGGGUGGGUACGGCGGGUCCCGGAGGGUCCUGAGCACAGGACCUUCUGUCCCGCAGACUUGGGGUGCGUCACCCUCUCGGCGGGGACGUGUGCACCCGCCCGGCAGCUCUCUGGGCCCCACCUGCUGGGAUUUGCGGGGCUUCCUCACGCAGGAGUGAGGUGGCUCAUCACCUCCAUACCCGGCCCCUCCCCCUCCCCGGAGAAUUGGGGGUCGGGGCUGAAAGUUCCAAGC